GUGACAUUGAAAAAUUCAAGAACAUGAAACCAUUGAUCCCAUCUUUUAAGCCUAUGAACAGCCACAGUUUCAGGUAUAAGCUCAUGGGAGCACCUUCCAUUUGUUCCCGGAUAAUCAUACAUUGCAGGCUUAUCAGAAAAUCGAUUCUUGGCUUUGUUUCCAAUCUUCAACCAUUUCCCAACCAACUUAUCCUCUGGUCCUUGCGUCUCAUUUGCAGGGAUCCCAGAUUUCCCAAUCCAUUCAACAAGAUCCCAUGACAACAAAAACCCCAUUCCUGACAUGUAAUCCACAUAUGGGUUCUUGCUGCUGCAUGGAAUGACGAAACCAUAGUACAAAUCUAGUCUCGGAAGUGGGUUUAGGGACAGAGACAAUUGGUUGAGCCUAAUGAAGACAUCAUCGUCAGCUUUCAUUACGUAAGUGUAACGUUUUGGAAGGAUUUGUGGGAGUGAAGAGAAGUAGGUGUAGGUCUUACCAUUGUUCAUAUUCUCAGUGCAAUUCAGGAUAAUAAUGUCGUUGAAACGAAGGAUUUCCAAUGCUAUAAAUACCCUUUGCUCAUGCUUUGUGAGGUUGCAGAAUACGAAUUUUACAUCUAUAUCAGCUACGGGUGAUCUUUGGAUUCCAUAGACAAGGCGAAGGAGGUGGCGACGAUCAUAUUUUUCUGGGCGGGUUAGUAUUCCUAUCAAGAUGCUAAAUUUGGUAUGCGCGAAAGGUGUUUGAUUGAAUGCGUAAAUGGAGUCAUUGGAUGGGGAUGGUGGAAAAGAUUUAAGUUGGAGAUUAGAGAAGAAGUAGGAAAAGAAGAGGAGAGAGAUUAGAAGAGGGGGCAGUACUGCAAAUUGAAUGACGUUCUUCUUUUGUUUCAUCAUAUGCACAAUAGAAGAAGAUGGUUUGAAAAUGAUUUGGGUAUAGAAAAAUAAACAGGAGAGUAAGUGUAUAUUGAGGUGCUGUGGAUGGUGAAAUGCAUGAUUUGCUUGAUCAAUGAUCAUGUGUUGUGGGUGAUAUCCCAUGUUUUCAGAAAGCAUAUACGGUUUUACAUGUGAAGAAAGUGCUAUUGAUGUGAUAUUUCUCGUGCUUGUAACU
RNAcentral lists this unclassified non-coding RNA (1077 nucleotides) under Hevea brasiliensis (rubber tree). The record is from RNAcentral. Lineage: Eukaryota; Viridiplantae; Streptophyta; Magnoliopsida; Malpighiales; Euphorbiaceae.